This 374-nucleotide ribosomal RNA is filed under the name uncultured bacterium. RNAcentral's name for it is "bacterial SSU rRNA". It matches the Rfam family "Bacterial small subunit ribosomal RNA", at positions 524 to 898 of the family's 1533-position model. The record is from RNAcentral.
UACGUAGGUGGCAAGCGUUGUCCGGAUUUACUGGGCGUAAAGGAUGCGUAGGCGGACUUUUAAGUGGGAUGUGAAAUUCCGAGGCUCAACCUCGGCGCUGCAUUCCAAACUGGAAGUCUAGAGUGCGGGAGAGGAAAGUGGAAUUCCUAGUGUAGCGGUGAAAUGCGUAGAGAUUAGGAAGAACACCAGUGGCGAAGGCGACUUUCUGGACCGUAACUGACGCUGAUGCAUGAAAGCGUGGGGAGCAAACAGGAUUAGAUACCCUGGUAGUCCACGCCGUAAACGAUGGGUACUAGGUGUAGGAGGGUCCAACCUUCUGUGCCGCCGUUAACACAUUAAGUACCCCGCCUGGGGAGUACGGUCGCAAGAUUAAA